RNAcentral lists this ribosomal RNA (709 nucleotides) under Streptomyces sp. S-96. RNAcentral describes it as "bacterial SSU rRNA". It matches the Rfam family "Bacterial small subunit ribosomal RNA", at positions 32 to 758 of the family's 1533-position model. Lineage: Bacteria; Bacillati; Actinomycetota; Actinomycetes; Kitasatosporales; Streptomycetaceae. The record is from RNAcentral.
AACGCUGGCGGCGUGCUUAACACAUGCAAGUCGAACGAUGAACCACUUCGGUGGGGAUUAGUGGCGAACGGGUGAGUAACACGUGGGUAAUCUGCCCUUCACUCUGGGACAAGCCCUGGAAACGGGGUCUAAUACCGGAUAUCACUUGCGCAGGCAUCUGUGCGGGUUGAAAGCUCCGGCGGUGAAGGAUGAGCCCGCGGCCUAUCAGCUUGUUGGUGAGGUAACGGCUCACCAAGGCGACGACGGGUAGCCGGCCUGAGAGGGCGACCGGCCACACUGGGACUGAGACACGGCCCAGACUCCUACGGGAGGCAGCAGUGGGGAAUAUUGCACAAUGGGCGCAAGCCUGAUGCAGCGACGCCGCGUGAGGGAUGACGGCCUUCGGGUUGUAAACCUCUUUCAGCAGGGAAGAAGCGCAAGUGACGGUACCUGCAGAAGAAGCGCCGGCUAACUACGUGCCAGCAGCCGCGGUAAUACGUAGGGCGCAAGCGUUGUCCGGAAUUAUUGGGCGUAAAGAGCUCGUAGGCGGCUUGUCACGUCGGGUGUGAAAGCCCGGGGCUUAACCCCGGGUCUGCAUUCGAUACGGGCAGGCUAGAGUGUGGUAGGGGAGAUCGGAAUUCCUGGUGUAGCGGUGAAAUGCCCAAAUAUCAGGAGGAACACCGGUGGCGAAAGCGGAUCUCUGGGCCAUUACUGACGCUGAAGAGCGAAA